UGUCACGUUUUGUUGUAUUUA
RNAcentral lists this non-coding RNA (21 nucleotides) under Caenorhabditis elegans. Lineage: Eukaryota; Metazoa; Nematoda; Chromadorea; Rhabditida; Rhabditidae. The record is from RNAcentral.